UACGAAGGGGGCUAGCGUUGCUCGGAAUCACUGGGCGUAAAGCGCACGUAGGCGGCGAUUCAAGUCAGAGGUGAAAGCCCGGGGCUCAACCCCGGAACUGCCUUUGAAACUAGAUCGCUAGAAUCUUGGAGAGGUCAGUGGAAUUCCGAGUGUAGAGGUGAAAUUCGUAGAUAUUCGGAAGAACACCAGUGGCGAAGGCGACUGACUGGACAAGUAUUGACGCUGAGGUGCGAAAGCGUGGGGAGCAAACAGG
This 253-nucleotide ribosomal RNA is filed under the name uncultured prokaryote. RNAcentral describes it as "partial 16S ribosomal RNA". It matches the Rfam family "Bacterial small subunit ribosomal RNA", at positions 524 to 776 of the family's 1533-position model. The record is from RNAcentral.